Molecule: ribosomal RNA, 460 nt
Filed under: uncultured bacterium
Lineage: Bacteria
Description: partial 16S ribosomal RNA
Rfam family: Bacterial small subunit ribosomal RNA
Source: RNAcentral
CCUACGGGAGGCAGCAGUGAGGAAUAUUGGUCAAUGGACGAGAGUCUGAACCAGCCAAGUAGCGUGAAGGAUGACUGCCCUAUGGGUUGUAAACUUCUUUUAUAUGGGAAUAAAAUGUUCCACGUGUGGGAUUUUGUAUGUACCAUAUGAAUAAGGAUCGGCUAACUCCGUGCCAGCAGCCGCGGUAAUACGGAGGAUCCGAGCGUUAUCCGGAUUUAUUGGGUUUAAAGGGAGCGUAGGUGGAUUGUUAAGUCAGUUGUGAAAGUUUGCGGCUCAACCGUAAAAUUGCAUUUGAAACUGGCAGUCUUGAGUACAGUAGAGGUGGGCGGAAUUCGUGGUGUAGCGGUGAAAUGCUUAGAUAUCACGAAGAACUCCGAUUGCGAAGGCAGUUCACUGGACUGCAACUGACACUGAGGCUCGAAAGUGUGGGUAUCAAACAGGAUUAGAUACCCGAGUAGUC